Molecule: ribosomal RNA, 466 nt
Filed under: Streptococcus sanguinis
Lineage: Bacteria; Bacillati; Bacillota; Bacilli; Lactobacillales; Streptococcaceae
Description: bacterial SSU rRNA
Rfam family: Bacterial small subunit ribosomal RNA
Source: RNAcentral
GACGAACGCUGGCGGCGUGCCUAAUACAUGCAAGUAGAACGCUGAAGAGAGGAGCUUGCUUUCUUGGAUGAGUUGCGAACAGGUGAGUAACGCGUAGGUAACCUGCCUGGUAGCGGGGGAUAACUAUUGGAAACGAUAGCUAAUACCGCAUAAAAUUGAUUAUUGCAUGAUAAUUAAUUGAAAGAUGCAAUUGCAUCACUACCAGAUGGACCUGCGUUGUAUUAGCUAGUUGGUGAGGUAACGGCUCACCAAGGCGACGAUACAUAGCCGACCUGAGAGGGUGAUCGGCCACACUGGGACUGAGACACGGCCCAGACUCCUACGGGAGGCAGCAGUAGGGAAUCUUCGGCAAUGGGGGGAACCCUGACCGAGCAGCGCCGCGUGAGUGAAGAAGGUUUUCGGAUCGUAAAGCUCUGUUGUAAGAGAAGAACGGGUGUGAGAGUGGAAAGUUCACACUGUGACGGAU